RNAcentral lists this non-coding RNA (172 nucleotides) under Enterobacter cloacae. The record is from RNAcentral. Lineage: Bacteria; Pseudomonadati; Pseudomonadota; Gammaproteobacteria; Enterobacterales; Enterobacteriaceae.
GUUGGCGUCGUGACGCUCAAAUCCGAACCUCUCCAGAUCACAACAGAACUACCGGGCCGCACCAGCGCUUACCGCAUUGCGGAAGUGCGUCCUCAGGUGAGCGGCAUCAUCCUGAAACGUAACUUCACCGAAGGCGGUGAUGUUAAAGCAGGUGAGUCUCUGUAUCAGAUUG